CCUACGGGGGGCAGCAGUGGGGAAUAUUGCACAAUGGGGGAAACCCUGAUGCAGCGACGCCGCGUGAGUGAAGAAGUAUUUCGGUAUGUAAAGCUCUAUCAGCAGGGAAGAAGAAAGACGGUACCUGAUUAAGAAGCCCCGGCUAACUACGUGCCAGCAGCCGCGGUAAUACGUAGGGGGCAAGCGUUAUCCGGAUUUACUGGGGGUAAGGGGAGCGUAGGCGGUUGUGCAAGUCUGAAGUGAAAGCCCAGGGCUCAACCCUGGGACUGCUUUGGAAACUGUGGAGCUAGAGUGCUGAAGAGGUAAGUGGAAUUCCUAGUGUAGCGGUGAAAUGCGUAGAUAUUAGGAGGAACACCAGUGGCGAAGGCGGCUUACUGGACAGUAACUGACGUUGAGGCUCGAAAGCGUGGGGAGCAAACAGGAUUAGAUACCCCGGUAGUC
RNAcentral lists this ribosomal RNA (441 nucleotides) under uncultured bacterium. RNAcentral describes it as "partial 16S ribosomal RNA". It matches the Rfam family "Bacterial small subunit ribosomal RNA", at positions 338 to 795 of the family's 1533-position model. The record is from RNAcentral.